AGGAAUGAACGCUAGCUACAGGCUAACACAUGCAAGUCGAGGGGCAGCAUGAGGCUUGCUGCAAACUUGAUGGCGACCGGCGCACGGGUGAGUAACGCGUAUCCAACUUCCCCUUAGUAGGGCAUAGCCCGGCGAAAGUCGGAUUAAUACCCUAUGUUCUUCGUAGAGGACAUCUGAAAUGAAGCAAAGACUUGUCGCUAAGGGAUGGGGAUGCGUCUGAUUAGGCAGUAGGCGGGGUAACGGCCCACCUAACCGACGAUCAGUAGGGGUUCUGAGAGGAAGGUCCCCCACAUUGGUACUGAGACACGGACCAAACUCCUACGGGAGGCAGCAGUGAGGAAUAUUGGUCAAUGGACGAGAGUCUGAACCAGCCAAGUAGCGUGCAAGGAAGACUGCCCUAUGGGUUGUAAACUGCUUUUAUGCGGGGAUAAAGUGCGGCACGUGUGCCGUUUUGUAGGUACCGCAUGAAUAAGGACCGGCUAAUUCCGUGCCAGCAGCGGC
RNAcentral lists this ribosomal RNA (501 nucleotides) under uncultured bacterium. RNAcentral describes it as "bacterial SSU rRNA". It matches the Rfam family "Bacterial small subunit ribosomal RNA", at positions 27 to 518 of the family's 1533-position model. The record is from RNAcentral.